GAAGCAAUUUACGACGAUGCCAACGAAGCUCUCCGGAUGAAAUCAAUCAGGUACAAGAGGGGAGGAAAGUCCGGACUCCAGCAGGGAGGAUGGCUCCUAACGGGAGCAGUCUGCAAAGACUGGAAAGUGCCGCAGAAAUACACAGCCCUCCACAGCUGUAUCACUGAUACGAAUAGCGGCGGAGGGCGAAGGUGAAAUGGCGAGGUAAGAGCUCACCUUCCGCCGGGCGACCGGCGGAACAGGCAAACCCCAUCCGGAGCAAGGUCAAGCAGAACCUACGGGUCCCUGCCUCUACAGGUUCGGGUUGACCGCGCGAGCCCCUGAGCGAUCAGGGGCCGAGAUGAAUGGCCGUUUAAACAGAAUCCGGCUUAUGAACUGCCCCUUUU
Molecule: RNase P RNA, 386 nt
Filed under: Candidatus Omnitrophota bacterium
Lineage: Bacteria; Pseudomonadati; Candidatus Omnitrophota
Description: Candidatus Omnitrophica bacterium RNase P RNA component class A
Rfam family: Bacterial RNase P class A
About the family: Ribonuclease P (RNase P) is a ubiquitous endoribonuclease, found in archaea, bacteria and eukarya as well as chloroplasts and mitochondria. Its best characterised activity is the generation of mature 5'-ends of tRNAs by cleaving the 5'-leader elements of precursor-tRNAs.
Source: RNAcentral